AGUAAAUUGGUUAAGUUAGAAAGGGCGCACGGUGGAUGCCUUGGCACUAGGAGCCGAAGAAGGACGGGACUAACACCGAUAUGCUUUGGGGAGCUGUACGUAAGCGUUGAUCCAGAGAUUUCCGAAUGGGGGAACCCACUAUCUUUAGUCGGAUAGUAUCCUUACGUGAAUACAUAGCGUGAGGAAGGCAGACCCAGGGAACUGAAACAUCUAAGUACCUGGAGGAAGAGAAAGAAAAAUCGAUUUCCUGAGUAGCGGCGAGCGAAACGGAAAGAGCCCAAACCAAGAAGCUUGCUUCUUGGGGUUGUAGGACACUCUAUACGGAGUUACAAAAGAAAGUUAUAAAUGAAGCGGUCUGGAAAGGCCCGCCAAAGACGGUAACAGCCCGGUAGUUGAAAUGGCUUUCCCUCCAGAGUGGAUCCUGAGUACGGCGGAACACGUGAAAUUCCGUCGGAAUCCGGGAGGACCAUCUCCCAAGGCUAAAUACUCCCUAGUGACCGAUAGUGAACCAGUACCGUGAGGGAAAGGUGAAAAGCACCCCGGAAGGGGAGUGAAACAGUUCCUGAAACCGUGUGCCUACA
This 581-nucleotide ribosomal RNA is filed under the name Listeria monocytogenes. RNAcentral's name for it is "partial 23S ribosomal RNA". It matches the Rfam family "Bacterial large subunit ribosomal RNA", at positions 1 to 568 of the family's 2925-position model. The record is from RNAcentral. Lineage: Bacteria; Bacillati; Bacillota; Bacilli; Caryophanales; Listeriaceae.